AGAAUCCAUCCACGUCUCCAAACGAAGAUAUGACAGAGCCUAACUGACUCCGGAGGCUAUUCACCACUUGAUUAACGGUUGAGAGGCAGGACCUACGAGCCAGGCUCAUCGCCCUUAACUAGGAAUGGAGGCUGCCGGUAGGCGGCUCAGCGUCCAGAGGGUACCAGGGAAGGGAUGAGACGUAGACAGCAUUCGCACCACUGAGCUGAGCUCCACCUGGCUCUCUACUCAGAAUAAUCAACCCCUCUGCUGAGUUCCCUCAGCUGAGUAAACAUGAAGGUCUCAGCGCCCCUUCCUGCUCCCCAGGGGCGUCGAACCUGCCUGGUGACGGACAAGAGGUGUGGUGGCCGCGUCAGGCAAGCCUCCUUCACUACCACCUGACACUCCCCCUCCGGUUAAUUACUCUACUGAUUGGGUCGCCGCCACACUGUUUAUUGGCCCAUUACCCUGGCGGCGGCGCCCUCCCCUAGUGGUGCACAGUGUUACACUCACCUGCUGUACCUCAUCUCCCCCUCCAUGGAUGGUUCCGGGAAGCGCUACAUCCUGAAAUAUAAACAAUUCUUGAAUAUUAUAUUAUUAGUUUAUAACCGGAUGUUGUUCUCUAAUAUUAGCUCCUUGAGUAUAUGCUGGUCCUUUGUGUG
Molecule: non-coding RNA, 641 nt
Organism: Procambarus clarkii (red swamp crayfish)
Lineage: Eukaryota; Metazoa; Arthropoda; Malacostraca; Decapoda; Cambaridae
Source: RefSeq, a predicted model, not a curated record